Molecule: long non-coding RNA, 1500 nt
Organism: Cyprinus carpio carpio
Lineage: Eukaryota; Metazoa; Chordata; Actinopteri; Cypriniformes; Cyprinidae
Source: Ensembl
CCAACUUUCAAUAUCAAGCAGCAAAAUGAACUGUUUUGUUCAGUUAAAAAUAGCUGGACGGAGUGGACGCAGAUGAGACCGGAAGCCAGACUCAUAGAAUUUACAAAUGGCUGCGCCAAUUUUUACGACAAGAAAAAGGUGGAUAGCAGUGUAGCGCAGCAAGGAGAGUAUUAAAUCAUAAAACAACACGAAGGCAUGGUCUUGUCACGACACGCACACAAACAGGUAGAUCCAAUUGCAGUAUGUUUUAUUAGGAUAAUCCAAAUCUCAUGGUCAGCCAGGCAAAGGUCACAAUCCAGGUAAGCAGUCCAGAAACAAGAAACAUACACAACAUCCGAGAACCACGACAAACCAGGGUGACAUUCAACAAGGACUCCGUGACAAUGACAGAACAACCGGGGUAUUUAUACACAAGGAAAUGACAAUGCUAACGGGGAAUUGGCUGAGUGCAAUGAUUGAUAACCACGGACAGCUGAGUGCAAUGAGCAGUGAUGAAACAGACAAGACUAUGGGAAAUGCAGUUCUAAAGUGGAGUGACGAUAAGGGGAAGUGAGACCUCUAGUGGCCACCCAGGGAGACACAGAACAGACACCGUGACACUACCCCCCCUCUAAGGAGCAGCUUCCAGAUGCUCCUCAGAACAAAAUAACCAAAAAACAAAGAGACCAGGAGGGAGGUGGACUGGUGGAGGCAGAACAGGGGGAGGGAUGGCGGGCCAGGCCCGUGUAGGGGAACUGGGACCGGCAGUGAUGGCUCCCCUGGUAGCCCAGGUGGCUCGGUCAGUUCAGGUGGCCACGGUGGACCCGCAAGUUCAGGGGGACCACGAGGGGCCAGGCAGUUCAGGUGGCCACGGUGGAUCAGUCCAUUCUCGUUGUGCAGACGGCCAGGGAGGAAUUCGCCAUUUGAGUGGCCCGAACGGAACCUGCCAAUCGGGGAGCCAGUAAGGAGCAGGCUGUGGCGAUGGCCAGGUCACGGCAUUGGGAACGGCAUCGGGAACGGCCUCAGACAAGGGCACCGCCUCGGGAACGGCCUUGGACACGGGUAUCGCCUCCGGAACCAUCUCGGGCCCCGCAUCGGCCUCCGGAACAGCAUCGGGCACCGCCUCGGCAUCGGGAACCGCCUCGGGCACCGCCUCGGCAUCGGGCACCGCCUCGGUAUCGGGAACAACAUCGGGCACCUCCGGAACAGCCUCGGUCUCGGGCAUUACAUCGGGCACCGCCUCGGCAUCGGGCACCGCCUCGGCAUCGGGGACCGCCUCGGGCACCGCCCUGGCAUCGGGAACGGCCUCGGCAUCGGGCACCGCCUCGGGAACCUUGGACACCUCCAUCUGGACGACCGCGGCCUGCUCGGGAACGUCCUCCUGGACGGCAGCGGCCUGCUCGGGAACGUCCUCCUGGACGGCAGCGGCCUGCUCGGGAACGUCCUCCGGGCUUUGAGGAACGGCUGACGCCUGUCUCCUCCUCCUGCGGCCUCUAUGAUGACGUGCCGGUGGCUCCUUGA